This 1492-nucleotide long non-coding RNA is filed under the name Macaca mulatta (Rhesus monkey). RNAcentral's name for it is "lncRNA (ENSMMUG00000064407.1)". The record is from RNAcentral. Lineage: Eukaryota; Metazoa; Chordata; Mammalia; Primates; Cercopithecidae.
AUGACAUUCCGUAGCCUUGAGGGGCAGGGACUCAGAGCUCGGUACCCUGGGGCUCUGGGGUGGAGGAUGAGGAUGAUCCAGAAUGGGGAGGCAGAAAUAGCCCCCCAUUCCUUUCUACUAGUUCUCAUGCCUCCAGCCCCUUGCUGCAGCCACACUGGCCUCAGUUACACUGGUUCGUUCCUGCUCCUCACCUGUACAGGGCCAGUUCCUGAACUGUGGGGGGGCCUUUGUAUAUACAGGCACCAGAACAUUCCUCCAGAGCUUCACUGGAGCCCUCCUCUUCAGCAUGACGGUUCCCGGCCACCUGAUCCAGAGCUGGCGGCUCCCAGGCAUAGCCCAUCCCUGCUGCGGCCCUGCACUACCCCAGUCCUCACCUGCACGCAGGGGACUGUUCACAUGCUGACCGUCUGUCCAUCUCCUGUAAGGACGUCGGCUCCUUCCAUGUCUGCUGGGCUGAGGAUCCCUCACAGCCUCCCUGACCUCAGAGCCAUGAAAGACUUGCAAGGCUUGAAGCAAACUCUGAACGGACCCUUCACAGAUAAAUUCUACCAGCAUGAUUAUACACAUCGAAACCCUCAGGGGUCAGCGCUAAGUGUCUGCAUAGACGUACCCAAACACCCGGGGCCUGGCAUUCCAAUAAACUCUCUGGAAAGAGCAGCAUCUCCUCUUCACACAGUGAAACUAACUGCACCUCUUCUCCUCCUAGAUGUGCAAGCGUCCACAAACAGGUAUUUUCCCCAUUUCCUGUUCGGUUCAAAGGUUAUUCCUAAAAAGCAGUCAUUGACCUGUUUUUGAUUUUUUGACUGAGAAAUGUAUUGACUAUGAACGCACAAAAUAUUUGCUGCACUGUAUGCUCCUCUCUUACUGACACAAGAUCACUGGAAAAGCCAUCUCAGAAAAAAAAGGAAGAUUUCAGGAGGAGCUGGAGUGAAACAAACCCAAGGUCGUUCAGCUCAUUACAUGUUAGUUAAAUGUUACAGUUUCAUAUAUUAAAAAAAAAAACCCAGAUAUUCCCUUAAAAAAUUAGUCUUUUCCUGUGUGUAUUUUAUCUCAAAUAAAAAAGGAUUCUAAUUUUAUCUGUGUUCAUAAGCUGAUAAAAAAAUGGUUAGGCUGGGGUUGUUUACUUUUUCGUAAGAUUCUCUGAGCAGCAGAAGGAAAGAAAACCAACCCAAGUCCAGCAUUUUCUGAGCACACUGAAACAGCCAGGUCCCUUCAACCCAUCUGGAAAGAAAUUAAUUAGUUCUCUGUGUUAGUUUAAUAUGAAAUUAUUUUAUUUUCACUGUUUUUUUUUUCUUUCUUUCUUUCUUUCUUUUUCUUUUUCUUUCUGGCUAUGAGGAAGGGGAAAAAAAAAACGGUGUGAAGGACCGGCUAUGGUUCCUUACCGCCCAUUUUCUCUCCAGGCUUUUCUUGGUUCCCAGCUUUUGCUUUUUAAAUUUUUCCCUGUCUUUUUGGUUGAAAAUGUACAAAAUGUGUAUUUUAAAUAUCAAAAAAU